UACGUAGGGGGCAAGCGUUGUCCGGAUUUAUUGGGCGUAAAGAGCGUGUAGGCGGCUUGGCAAGUCCGCUGUGAAAACUCGAGGCUCAACCUCGAGAGGUCGGUGGAAACUGCCUGGCUAGAGUCCGGAAGAGGAGAGUGGAAUUCCUGGUGUAGCGGUGAAAUGCGCAGAUAUCAGGAAGAACACCCGUGGCUAAGGCGGCUCUCUAGUACGGUACUGACGCUGAGACGCGAAAGCGUGGGGAGCGAACAGG
RNAcentral lists this ribosomal RNA (253 nucleotides) under uncultured bacterium. RNAcentral describes it as "partial 16S ribosomal RNA". It matches the Rfam family "Bacterial small subunit ribosomal RNA", at positions 524 to 776 of the family's 1533-position model. The record is from RNAcentral.